UACGAGAGGCGCAAACGUUAUUCGGAAUUACUGGGCUUAAAGAGUUCGUAGGCGGCGCAGAAAGUAGGGUGUGAAAGCCCUCGGCUUAACCGAGGAAUUGCGCUCUAAACUACUGUGCUUGAGGGACCUAGAGGUGAGCGGAACUGAUGGUGGAGCGGUGAAAUGCGUUGAUAUCAUCAGGAACACCGGAGGCGAAGGCGGCUCACUGGCCCGGUACUGACGCUGAGGUGCGAAAGCGUGGGGAGCAAACAGG
This 253-nucleotide ribosomal RNA is filed under the name uncultured bacterium. Its description in RNAcentral is "partial 16S ribosomal RNA". It matches the Rfam family "Bacterial small subunit ribosomal RNA", at positions 524 to 776 of the family's 1533-position model. The record is from RNAcentral.